AUUGAACGCUGGCGGCAGGCCUAACACAUGCAAGUCGAGCGGAUGAAGGGAGCUUGCUCCUGGAUUCAGCGGCGGACGGGUGAGUAAUGCCUAGGAAUCUGCCUGGUAGUGGGGGAUAACGUCCGGAAACGGGCGCUAAUACCGCAUACGUCCUGAGGGAGAAAGUGGGGGAUCUUCGGACCUCACGCUAUCAGAUGAGCCUAGGUCGGAUUAGCUAGUUGGUGGGGUAAAGGCCUACCAAGGCGACGAUCCGUAACUGGUCUGAGAGGAUGAUCAGUCACACUGGAACUGAGACACGGUCCAGAAUACUACGGGAGGCAGCAGUGGGGAAUAUUGGACAAUGGGCGAAAGCCUGAUCCAGCAAUGCCGCGUGUGUGAAGAAGGUCUUCGGAUUGUAAAGCACUUUAAGUUGGGAGGAAGGGCAGUAAGUUAAUACCUUGCUGUUUUGACGUUACCAACAGAAUAAGCACCGGCUAACUUCGUG
Molecule: ribosomal RNA, 484 nt
Filed under: uncultured bacterium
Lineage: Bacteria
Description: partial 16S ribosomal RNA
Rfam family: Bacterial small subunit ribosomal RNA
Source: RNAcentral